Molecule: long non-coding RNA, 365 nt
Organism: Ornithodoros turicata
Lineage: Eukaryota; Metazoa; Arthropoda; Arachnida; Ixodida; Argasidae
Exons: 2
Source: RefSeq, a predicted model, not a curated record
GAAAGAUGCCUCUGGUGAAGCCAUCGGGUUCGUGUUCGAAGACGCCACGUGGGGUGCAGUAUCGCUGUCCAUCUGUGACGCAUCCAGAAAACCCUUCCUAAAAGUGAAUGGGCCUUGCUUCGCCCCGGGUACCGCCAGCAACAUAGCUUUGCAGUGGUUCAUGGCGUGUACUCCCGGCCACUUGAUAGGCUGCAUUGUUUGCGUCGUGUGCUUCUUCUACAUUGUAUGUUACAUUGGAAUGUUUUGCGUGAACGCGCCGGCAGCUUGUCGCACGUUCGCCAGACGUUCUUCAGAGAAGAAGUAAUGGAGUGUCGUCAUCGAUGCGAUAUCAAGCAUAAUUGAUUAAAAUCUGAUCCGCAAUUGGU